Molecule: unclassified non-coding RNA, 384 nt
Filed under: Athalia rosae (coleseed sawfly)
Lineage: Eukaryota; Metazoa; Arthropoda; Insecta; Hymenoptera; Athaliidae
Description: misc RNA ENSAEAG00005004184.1
Source: RNAcentral
CAGGAGUCAUCGGCUUUAAAAACUGCAUCAAGUUCAAAGUGGAUCGAAAAUAAAGUGGAUCAUGUGAUUUUUUUUCGUGUCUAGGAGAUAGGGUGCUUUCAAGUCUUGUAGGAGGUGUUGAAAAAUAAAAGGAUUUCAUCCAGUUAAAAGUAGAUAAAAAAAAAAAAUAAAAGAAACUUACAAAACGUCGCGCAGAAAAUAAGGGUGAAAGCGAGGGUGAUCCUUUCCAUGUCGAGAGGGGUGCUGUCCGCCUGGUUCGGAGGUGCGACUUGCUCUAGAGACCAGAAACAACCGACUGACUAAUCGAGUCAGGGCAGAUGAGAAGAGGGAAAAAACGGUUGUCGCAGGCGUAAUCCGAGCCAACAAAAGAGCGGAAUAACUAAA